Molecule: ribosomal RNA, 471 nt
Filed under: uncultured Thauera sp.
Lineage: Bacteria; Pseudomonadati; Pseudomonadota; Betaproteobacteria; Rhodocyclales; Zoogloeaceae
Description: bacterial SSU rRNA
Rfam family: Bacterial small subunit ribosomal RNA
Source: RNAcentral
UUGACGGGGACCCGCACAAGCGUGGAUGAUGUGGAUUAAUUCGAUGCAACGCGAAAACCUUACCUGCCCUUGACAUGUCUGGAACCUUGGUGAGAGCCGAGGGUGCCUUCGGGAGCCAGAACACAGGUGCUGCAUGGCUGUCGUCAGCUCGUGUCGUGAGAUGUUGGGUUAAGUCCCGCAACGAGCGCAACCCUUGUCACUAGUUGCCAUCAUUUGGUUGGGCACUCUAGUGAGACUGCCGGUGACAAACCGGAGGAAGGUGGGGAUGACGUCAAGUCCUCAUGGCCCUUAUGGGUAGGGCUUCACACGUCAUACAAUGGUCGGUACAGAGGGUUGCCAAGCCGCGAGGUGGAGCCAACCCCUUAAAGCCGGUCUCAGUUCGGAUUGGAGUCUGCAACUCGACUCCAUGAAGUUGGAAUCGCUAGUAAUCGCGGAUCAGCAUGCCCGCGGUCGAAUACGUUCCCGGGCCUU